Long non-coding RNA from Phyllopteryx taeniolatus (common seadragon), 347 nucleotides. RefSeq lists it as uncharacterized. Lineage: Eukaryota; Metazoa; Chordata; Actinopteri; Syngnathiformes; Syngnathidae. The record is from RefSeq and is a predicted model, not a curated record. The transcript has 3 exons.
UCCCGGCCGCUCGGACGCAAAGGGCGGCUUUGGGGCACUGCGGCGAAGGAGCUCCUAGCCCAUAAGCGUCACGGGACGAACGGGUUGCGGCGAGGACGGACGCCCCCCAGCGGAUUUUGGCGCAUCACAACCCUGCAGGCUGGCACCGACACUGCAGCGUCAUGAUGGGAACGUGAGCAUCUGACUCCAUCCAACAAGCCCUUGAUAGCAAUGCGCCUUGCAUCCCGGUCCCCCCAAAAAGGAGGCGACGAGGUGGUGGUGGUGGGCGGCGUUGGUUAGCGGCUUGCGCCUACAAAUCCACGCAUUCACCGCAAAGUGGCGGCGUCCCAGCGACCCCUCACGUAAAC